AUGGGGAUUGGAGUACCAGCCGUCCGCAAUAGUGGUGGGGUGGGGGGAUCCGGGGCGUCGGCGUCGCCCACAAGCAGCAACGGUGGCAGUAGAGGCGUCCACCACCGCGACCACCACCAGCUGCCGGCGGCUAAGCGGACCAGCCUGGUGGCCGAAGCGGAUCAGCGCGGCGCCGUUAGGCAGCGGAGUCGGGGCCGGCAAGCUGUGUCUUGGGUGGCGAUGGUCCUGCUCGUGGGUGGACGACGAAGUUCCUGCCCGUGGCCGGCGGAGGUCCUGCGCGUGGGCGGCGGAAGUCCUGCUCGUCGGUGGGCUAGUUGGCCGGCUCCUGGGCGGUGUAGGAACUGCUCGUGGGCGGCGCAUGGCCUGCUAGAGGGCGCCGCAUGGCCUGGUCAAGUGCGUGGAGGUGCAGAAGCGGCAGCUCUCCCUCCGGCGGGUGGCGCAGGUGAGUAG
Molecule: ribosomal RNA, 450 nt
Filed under: Triticum aestivum (bread wheat)
Lineage: Eukaryota; Viridiplantae; Streptophyta; Magnoliopsida; Poales; Poaceae
Description: partial small subunit ribosomal RNA
Source: RNAcentral